CAGCAGCCACUGAUCAUAACAUCUGUUAAAUACUGCAAGCUCAGGGGGCUCCAACAAGUACGCAGCAAGAAGGGUUAGUCCAUAACAGCAAUGGCGGCCCCAGUGCGAGCAAAUGACAGAACGUUGAGCGGGACAAUGCAGCCAACAGAGGCUAGUCGUACAACCACAAGCAUUGCCUCUGUUCCGAGGACUCGAGCAGAGAGGACGAGGCCAGCUCCUCAGCCUACCCGUGUUGCGACAACGAGAGCCGUCGCCAACCGCGCUGUUGCUCCUCUCGAAAGCCGAAUCAGAGGUGCACGGCUAUGCCGCCCACGGCUAAACAUGGGAUGGCCCGACGCCCAGGUGAUCGGAUCCGUGGUGUCACCACACACCGAAUGGUUGCAUACCACAGACGCCCCUGCAGGACAUUCAAGGAACACGGUUCAAUGUUCAAGCCUGCGAUUUAUGCCGGGUCACCAAACACGUACCUUGACUGUUCGGGUUCUUUCGAGUAGAGGCAUUCCACACUUUGCAACGUGCAAACAUGAGCAGGCACUUGCCUAAAGCACACGGAGAGUGGCUUUUGUGUGUCUGCCCGCUGCCGUGAGCGAUGGGCACAGUAUGUUGCCAUUCAGAAAUUUUCGGAUAUAAUUAAUCUCGUCACCUGGCAGCUGUUUGUUUUUAAUUUGUUUGAUGUUAAGCCUGCGCCGUACGUUACCUCCCCACAUGCUCCUUUUUUUUCACUAUCAAAAUACCCAACUGUUGAAUAUGCAUCCACCGUCUGCACACGAGCUCACAGGGAUUUCCAGCUCAGAAGAUUCGGUACGUCAGCUGUCACUGGGACGAACGUUGGCUUCUUGCCGAGAUCUCUAUUUCAACGGACCCCUCGUCACCGCAUCGGCCUGUAUGAAGCGCUGCUCGUGCGGUGCACAGAGCCCUAGAAGGUUAUGUGCCAGUGGGGCGACAUUAACUAGGAGGCCCCUAAACUCGACUUUCGGGUUUCGCAUAAUAUAGCCCCCACUGAUGAGAGCGAGUUUUCGUACGACGUCUAUUUUGCCAUGAGCAGGCCUUUAUUACACUGAAUGACGAUAAGACUGCUUUCCUGGAAUUGUAAAGAGGGGAUAAUGUCAAAGAGCAGUCGUACAAGGCACCGAAAACGGCGUUGCGAUAACAGCCCUGAUUUCGCAGGAAUUGCGUGAAACUGGCUCCCCAAUCAUCUUGGUUAUGUAUUACGAUAGACAAAUAAAUUGU
This is a non-coding RNA of Dermacentor albipictus, 1230 nucleotides long. The record is from RefSeq and is a predicted model, not a curated record. Lineage: Eukaryota; Metazoa; Arthropoda; Arachnida; Ixodida; Ixodidae.